CCUACGGGAGGCAGCAGUGGGGAAUAUUGCACAAUGGGGGGAACCCUGAUGCAGCGACGCCGCGUGAGUGAAGAAGUAUUUCGGUAUGUAAAGCUCUGUCAGCAGGGAAGAAGAAAGACGGGACCUGACAAAGAAGACCCGGCUAACUACGUGCCAGCAGCCGCGGUAAUACGUAGGGGGCAAGCGUUAUCCGGAUUUACUGGGUGUAAAGGGAGCGUAGACGGCAUGGCAAGUCUGGAGUGAAAGGCAGGGGCCCAACCCCUGGACUGCUUUGGAAACUGUCCAGCUAGAGUGCAGGAGAGGUAAGCGGAAUUCCUAGUGUAGCGGUGAAAUGCGUAGAUAUUAGGAGGAACACCAGUGGCGAAGGCGGCUUACUGGACUGUAACUGACGUUGAGGCUCGAAAGCGUGGGGAGCGAACAGGAUUAGAUACCCGGGUAGUC
This 441-nucleotide ribosomal RNA is filed under the name uncultured bacterium. RNAcentral describes it as "partial 16S ribosomal RNA". It matches the Rfam family "Bacterial small subunit ribosomal RNA", at positions 338 to 795 of the family's 1533-position model. The record is from RNAcentral.